RNAcentral lists this ribosomal RNA (995 nucleotides) under uncultured bacterium. RNAcentral's name for it is "bacterial SSU rRNA". It matches the Rfam family "Bacterial small subunit ribosomal RNA", at positions 8 to 980 of the family's 1533-position model. The record is from RNAcentral.
AGAGUUUGAUCCUGGCUCAGAGCGAACGCUGGCGGCGUGCCUAACACAUGCAAGUCGAACGUGAAAGGGAGCAAUCCCAAGUAAAGUGGCGUACGGGUGAGUAACGCGUAGGUAAUCUACCCCAAAAUCUGGAAUAACCUGCCGAAAGGCGGGCUAAUACUGGAUAGAGCGAUGGAAUCCGUAAUUGGGUUUUUCGGGAAAGGGAGGGAGCAAUCCCCUUCGUUUUGGGAUGAGCCUGCGUCUCAUUAGCUAGUUGGUGGGGUAAUGGCCCACCAAGGCUUUGAUGGGUAGCUGGUCUGAGAGGAUGAUCAGCCACACUGGAACUGAAACACGGUCCAGACUCCUACGGGAGGCGGCAGUGGGGAAUCUUGCGCAAUGGACGAAAGUCUGACGCAGCCACGCCGCGUGAGUGAAGAAGGCCUUCGGGUUGUAAAGCUCUGUCGAGCGGGACGAAAAUUUUCUGGGUUAACAGCCCAGGGAACUGACGGUACCGCUAAAGGAAGCACCGGCUAACUCCGUGCCAGCAGCCGCGGUAAUACGGAGGGUGCAAGCGUUGCUCGGAAUUAUUGGGCGUAAAGGGUAGGUAGGUGGUCUCAUUUGUCUGGGGUGAAAGCCUUGAGCUUAACUCAAGAAGUGCCCCAGAAACGGUGAGACUGGAGUCCUGGAGAGGGUCGUGGAAUUCCCGGUGUAGCGGUGAAAUGCGUAGAGAUCGGGAGGAACACCAGAGGCGAAAGCGGCGACCUGGACAGGUACUGACACUCAACUACGAAAGCGUGGGGAGCAAACAGGAUUAGAUACCCUGGUAGUCCACGCUGUAAACGAUGGGUACUAGGUUUGGUGGGUCUUGACCCCCGCCGAACCGGCGCUAACGCACUAAGUACCCCGCCUGGAAAGUACGGUCGCAAGACUAAAACUCAAAGGAAUUGACGGGGGCCCGCACAAGCGGUGGAUCAUGUGGUUUAAUUCGAAGCAACGCGAAGAACCCUUACCUGGAU